Long non-coding RNA from Hirundo rustica (Barn swallow), 1685 nucleotides. RefSeq lists it as uncharacterized. The record is from RefSeq and is a predicted model, not a curated record. Lineage: Eukaryota; Metazoa; Chordata; Aves; Passeriformes; Hirundinidae. The transcript has 7 exons.
ACCAGGCUGGAAUUACCCUCACCAGCUUCACCUGGCCCUCUGCCUAGAGCUGCAGCCCAUCAGACACACAAGGUUCUUUAGGCUCCAGCCUGAAGGUUUGGGUUUGGGAAGAACUGGUUUGAGGAUAUCUGCUGCCUGUUCUUUGCUGCGUUAUUGUUUGGAUUUCCUGGGCUGACUUGGCUGAGGAUCACUGGAUGAGUUUUGUUGCUGUCAUCAUCCUGGAUUGGGAGCCCCACCUGUGAGGUCUUUCCAACUGAUGAAUUUCAGUACUGUGCAGUUUGCAGGCUCCAAGAGAUCCAUACUGAAGACACCAGCAACUCACAUAAAUUGUCCAGUAAACCAGACCAAACACAGACAGAGAAACUAAGGCAAAGGUGAUAAGUGAGAAAGCUUAGAUGCUGAAGGCCUUUGGAAGAGGGAAACCCCCCCAGCUGCUGAAGUGGUGGAACACCAUCUCCAGAGGAAGCUCUGUCACAAAGUCUGGGGCUGCAAUUGUUGUCUGGCACCUUGUCCAUCUGGUGUUCAACUGCUGCAUUCACCUUUCCAAAGGCAGCAGGAUGUGCCCCUUUGCAAAUGAAGAAGGAAAAAAAAAAAGGACAGAAGGGAGCUCGUGGUCCCCAAGGAGGACACAUCUCUGACCUGUAACAAGAGGCCAGGAGCCAACAGGGCCUGAGAGUAUCCAGUCACAGAUGAUGGGCUGCUGCCGUUCCAGACAUCUCUCAAAUGGUCAGUGGGAUGAUGAGACAAGCACCUGCUUAUUUGCAGUCUGUAUAAUCUGUACCACGGUUGCAGAUGGUGCCCUGCACAGCUCUGUGAGCAGGGAACCAGGAGCUGUGAACUUUGACAUGAAUGUCUCCAGUUUGUGGGGUGUCAUGUCCAUGGCAAUCCAGCAUUUUGAGGACAAUGUUUAUACGACGUUGUUCAUCCCUGUGAAAAUGGCUGAAAUCAAACCUGGUGCAUUUGCUGUGGCUGAAAUACUGAUGUCCAUUCCACGUAGUAAAGGAAAAAAAAAAAAAAUCAUGGUUAAAACUCGCUUGUUGAAUUGUCACAGUUGCUUUUGAGAGUCUCACAGAGCAGAGAAUUUUGUAUUUUAGAGAGACAUGUUCUGCUGGACUUCCCUAGCCUUAGAAAUUCCUGGAAGUGCGCAGCAGUUGCCAUGUGACAAACGCUGUGAGCUGGUCAGUAUGAACAGGUGAUGGUAGGAAAGUGUCCAUAUGUCCGGGAAUUCACUGCUGCCUUCAGAGAUCCAUAAUCCUGCACAAACUUCUUUUCCUCAGGGACUUGAGUCCAUCUCAGAGGAUGGGAGUGAGGACAGAUUUUGUGGUCAUAAAAAAGGGAAGACGUUUAAACAAACCCCCCACCUUUAACUCAGCCAAAGGGAACUUUUUCUGUGCUGCCUCUGUUAGUAUCGAAAUCACUAAUGCUCAGGUGCAGGAAGGUGUCCCUUUCUCUGGUCAUUUAGGAGCUGUGAAUUCUCUGGGUCUGUGCUUGUAGUUCAGAGGUUUGGACUAUUCACUGGCCAUAACCAGCUGUAAAAUGCCAUAAAUGGAACAGUAUCAUGACUGGAGCUACCCAGUGUCCUUCAGAGGACUCUGGCUCUGUCAGUUCCACUGUCCUGAUGGGAGUUCUAAAGAGCAGUGCCAGCUCCCGUGGAUGGCGGGGUCUUGGUCAGUAAAUCACACGGU